UUGAACGCUGGCGGCAUGCCUUACACAUGCAAGUCGAACGGUAACGCGGGGCAACCUGGCGACGAGUGGCGAACGGGUGAGUAAUAUAUCGGAACGUGCCCAGUAGUGGGGGAUAGCCCGGCGAAAGCCGGAUUAAUACCGCAUACGACCUAAGGGUGAAAGCGGGGGAUCGCAAGACCUCGCGCUAUUGGAGCGGCCGAUAUCAGAUUAGCUAGUUGGUGGGGUAAAAGCCUACCAAGGCGACGAUCUGUAGCUGGUCUGAGAGGACGACCAGCCACACUGGGACUGAGACACGGCCCAGACUCCUACGGGAGGCAGCAGUGGGGAAUUUUGGACAAUGGGCGCAAGCCUGAUCCAGCCAUGCCGCGUGCGGGAAGAAGGCCUUCGGGUUGUAAACCGCUUUUGUCAGGGAAGAAAAGCUUCGAACUAAUACUUUGGGGCAAUGACGGUACCUGAAGAAUAAGCACCGGCUAACUACGUGCCAGCAGCCGCGGUAAUACGUAGGGUGCAAGCGUUAAUCGGAAUUACUGGGCGUAAAGCGUGCGCAGGCGGUCUUGUAAGACAGAGGUGAAAUCCCCGGGCUCAACCUGGGAACUGCCUUUGUGACUGCAAGGCUUGAGUACGGUAGAGGGGGAUGGAAUUCCGCGUGUAGCAGUGAAAUGCGUAGAUAUGCGGAGGAACACCGAUGGCGAAGGCAAUCCCCUGGGACCUGUACUGACGCUCAUGCACGAAAGCGUGGGGGAGCAAACAGGAUUAGAUACCCUGGUAGUCCACGCCCUAAACGAUGUCAACUGGGUUGUUGGGGAAGGGUUCCUUCUCAGUAACGUAGCUAACGCGUGAAAGUUGACCGCCUGGGGAGUACGGCCGCAAGGGUUGAACUCAAGGAAUUGACGGGGACCCGCACAAGCGGUGGGAUGAUGUGGUU
This 925-nucleotide ribosomal RNA is filed under the name uncultured bacterium. Its description in RNAcentral is "bacterial SSU rRNA". It matches the Rfam family "Bacterial small subunit ribosomal RNA", at positions 29 to 946 of the family's 1533-position model. The record is from RNAcentral.